Molecule: ribosomal RNA, 432 nt
Filed under: uncultured organism
Description: bacterial SSU rRNA
Rfam family: Bacterial small subunit ribosomal RNA
Source: RNAcentral
GCGCAGCAGGCGCGAAUUUUCACAAUGGGGAAACCCUGAUGGAGCGACGCCGCGUGGAGGAUGAAGGCCUUUUGGUCGUAAACUCCUGUCAAACGGGAACAAGAAAGUGAUAGUACCGUUAGAGGAAGAGGCGGCUAACUCUGUGCCAGCAGCCGCGGUAAUACAGAGGCCUCAAGCGUUGUUCGGAUUCAUUGGGCGUAAAGGGUGCGUAGGUGGCUUGUUAAGUUGAAGGUGAAAUCUCGGGGCUCAACUCCGAAACUGCCUUCAAUACUGGCGAGCUCGAGGAUUGUAGAGGAGAAUGGAAUUCACGGUGUAGCAGUGAAAUGCGUAGAUAUCGUGAGGAAGACCAGUGGCGAAGGCGAUUCUCUGGGCAAUUCCUGACACUGAGGCACGAAGGCCAGGGGAGCAAACGGGAUUAGAUACCCGGGUAGU